RNAcentral lists this transfer RNA (58 nucleotides) under Dipodomys ordii (Ord's kangaroo rat). It matches the Rfam family "tRNA", at positions 8 to 63 of the family's 71-position model. From Rfam's summary of the family: Transfer RNA (tRNA) molecules are approximately 80 nucleotides in length. Lineage: Eukaryota; Metazoa; Chordata; Mammalia; Rodentia; Heteromyidae. The record is from Rfam by way of RNAcentral.
UGGCUCAGUGGUAGAGCGCCUGCCUUGCAUGCAUGAGGCCCUGGGUUCGAUUCCUCAG